Long non-coding RNA from Zonotrichia leucophrys gambelii, 1007 nucleotides. RefSeq lists it as uncharacterized. NCBI's taxonomy places the organism in Eukaryota, Metazoa, Chordata, Aves, Passeriformes, Passerellidae. The transcript has 3 exons. The record is from RefSeq and is a predicted model, not a curated record.
UGCCAUUUUUUGAACCAGUCAGGUCAUAACUUGCACUCACAGCUGAAAACUGAACAAAUAAAAAGGACACCUCAGUUUCUCCUGCCAUGAGCUGUACAGAGUAGCAAAAGACAAAGUAGGAGUGUAUUGAGAGCUGGAAAGUCAGUGACCACAGUUUGAGAUCAUAGUCCUUCUGCCUUGGUGUUCUCCUGUGGUUUCCCCACAACAGCACUCAACAGCACUCACCGGGACCUGGGCUCAAGUUAAAAUCUGUUUUUCAGACUGCUUUAUCUGUGUAAGGAAGUAUGUGGAGCCAUUUGACUGUUCAUUAGUUGUAAUGAACAAGACCAUGCCCUCCUGAGACCGGUAUCCGCUGUAAGCAGAGUGGGAUGCAGCGCCUUUCCGCACGGAGGCUCUCGGAGCUGCGCUGCCCCAGCAGCAGUGCAGUGACCUGCUGCAAUGUGCUCUACCCACAGCAGAGCAUCACAGCCUCUCAGGCAUGAGGAACGUGGCAGCUGGGCUGCUUGGGAGGCUCUCAGGAAGCAAAGUGCCAUUAUCAAGAUUGAAGUGGAGCUGAGCGGGACCUGCAGCCUCCCAGACGACAUUCAGGGCUUCUGAACUGCAGUGCUUGGAAGAGAAAGCAAGAAAGUGAUGAUUUUGCACUUAGAGACCAGAGCUCCCAAGAACUUUACAAACACAACACAACCCUUUCAACUGGGAGAGGCCCUUGCUGAUCUCCUGUACUGGGGGGAGCGCUGGCUGAACACAAAAAAUCACUGGUACUCCAGAAAGCAAGAUGGGGCUUCUCUGCUGCUCACCUUCUGUUUGGUACCAGCACUGUAACCAGUCUCCACUGGGUGAGAACCACCUGUGGCUGUGCUGGGGGACUGAGCCAAGAGAAGGAGGGAUCUCACAUGGACAUCUCUGGGCACCUUUGAUUCAAACAUGUAAGAGCACUUGGAAGAGAAAGCCACUGCUUUCAUGUUUUCAGCAGGUGGAAAGUCAAAAUAUUUCUUAGAGCAUCUAAG